ACGCUGGCGGCACGCCUAACACAUGCAAGUCGAACGAAGUAGCAAUACUUAGUGGCAGACGGGUGAGUAACAUGUAGGUAUCUGCCCUUUGGCCUGGAAUAACACGAGGAAACUUGUGCUAAUACCGGAUAAGUCUUUACGGAGAAAGCUUUAUGCACCAUUGGAUGAGCCUGCACUUGAUUAGUUUGUUGGUGGGGUAAUGGCCUACCAAGACUUUGAUCAAUAGCUGAUUUGAGAGGAUGAUCAGCCACAUUGGGACUGAGACACGGCCCAAACUCCUACGGGAGGCAGCAGUGGGGAAUCUUGCACAAUGGAGGAAACUCUGAUGCAGCGAUGCCGCGUGAGUGAAGAAGGCCCUUGGGUUGUAAAGCUCUUUCGUCGGGGAAGAAAAUGACUGUACCCGAAUAAGAAGGUCCGGCUAACUUCGUGCCAGCAGCCGCGGUAAUACGAAGGGACCUAGCGUAGUUCGGAAUUACUGGGCUUAAAGAGUUCGUAGGUGGUUGAAAAAGUUGGUGGUGAAAUCCCAGAGCUUAACUCUGGAACUGCCAUCAAAACUUUUCAGCUAGAGUUUGAUAGAGGAAAGCAGAAUUUCUAGUGUAGAGGUGAAAUUCGUAGAUAUUAGAAAGAAUACCAAUUGCGAAGGCAGCUUUCUGGAUCAUUACUGACACUGAGGAACGAAAGCAUGGGUAGCGAAGAGGAUUAGAUACCCUCGUAGUCCAUGCCGUAAACGAUGUGUGUUAGACGUUGGAAAUUUAUUUUCAGUGUCGCAGCGAAAGCGAUAAACACACCGCCUGGGGAGUACGACCGCAAGGUUAAAACUCAAAUGAAUUGACGGGGACCCGCACAAGUAGUGGAGCAUGUGGUUUAAUUCGAAGAUACGCGCAGAACCUUACCAACACUUGACAUGUUCGUCGCGACUCUAAGAGAUUAGAGUUUUCGGUUCGGCCGGACGAAACACAGGUGCUGCAUGGCUGUCGUCAGCUCGUGUCGUGAGAUGUUGGGUUAAGUCCCGCAACGAGCGCAACCCUCACUUUUAGUUGCCAUCAUUAAGUUGGGCACUCUGAAAGAACUGCCAGUGAUAAGCUGGAGGAAGGUGGGGAUGACGUCAAGUCCUCAUGGCCCUUACGUGUUGGGCUACACACGUGCUACAAUGGUAUCUACAACAGGAAGCAAGGCGGCGACGUCAAGCAAAUCCUUAAAAGAUACCUCAGUUCGGAUUGCACUCUGCAACUCGAGUGCAUGAAGCUGGAAUUACUAGUAAUCGUGGAUCAGCGUGCCACGGUGAAUGCGUUCCCGGGUCUUGUACACACCGCCCGUCA
RNAcentral lists this ribosomal RNA (1319 nucleotides) under uncultured Alphaproteobacteria bacterium. Its description in RNAcentral is "uncultured alpha proteobacterium 16S ribosomal RNA". It matches the Rfam family "Bacterial small subunit ribosomal RNA", at positions 33 to 1399 of the family's 1533-position model. The record is from RNAcentral. Lineage: Bacteria; Pseudomonadati; Pseudomonadota; Alphaproteobacteria.